Molecule: ribosomal RNA, 859 nt
Filed under: marine metagenome
Description: bacterial SSU rRNA
Rfam family: Bacterial small subunit ribosomal RNA
Source: RNAcentral
CCUCUGGGCUGUAAACCUCUUUUCUCAAGGAAGAAGAUAUGACGGUACUUGAGGAAUAAGCCACGGCUAAUUCCGUGCCAGCAGCCGCGGUAAUACGGGAGUGGCAAGCGUUAUCCGGAAUUAUUGGGCGUAAAGCGUCCGCAGGCGGCUUUUCAAGUCUGCUGUUAAAGCGUGGAGCUUAACUCCAUCAUGGCAGUGGAAACUGAAAGGCUUGAGUAUGGUAGGGGCAGAGGGAAUUCCCGGUGUAGCGGUGAAAUGCGUAGAUAUCGGGAAGAACACCAGUGGCGAAGGCGCUCUGCUGGGCCAUUACUGACGCUCAUGGACGAAAGCCAGGGGAGCGAAAGGGAUUAGAUACCCCUGUAGUCCUGGCCGUAAACGAUGAACACUAGGUGUCGGGGGAAUCGACCCCUUCGGUGUCGUAGCUAACGCGUUAAGUGUUCCGCCUGGGGAGUACGCACGCAAGUGUGAAACUCAAAGGAAUUGACGGGGGCCCGCACAAGCGGUGGAGUAUGUGGUUUAAUUCGAUGCAACGCGAAGAACCUUACCAGGGUUUGACAUCCUGCGAACCUCUUAGAAAUUUGAGGGUGCCUUCGGGAAUGCAGUGACAGGUGGUGCAUGGCUGUCGUCAGCUCGUGUCGUGAGAUGUUGGGUUAAGUCCCGCAACGAGCGCAACCCACGUUUUUAGUUGCCAGCAUUUAGUUGGGCACUCUAGAAAGACCGCCGGUGAUAAACCGGAGGAAGGUGUGGAUGACGUCAAGUCAUCAUGCCCCUUACACCCUGGGCUACACACGUACUACAAUGCUACGGACAAAGGGCAGCAAACUCGCGAGAGCUAGCAAAUCCCAUAAACCGUGGCUCA